CCCUUAGAUGUUCUGGGCCGCACGCGCGCUACACUGAUGCAUUCAACGAGCCUAUCCUUGACCGACAGGUCCGGGUAAUCUUUGAAUCUGCAUCGUGAUUGGGAUAGAUGAUUGCAAUUUUUCAUCUUCAACGAGGAAUGCCUAGUAAACGCAAGUCAUCAGCUUGCAUUGAUUACGUCCCUGCCCUUUGUACACACCGCCCGUCGCUCCUACCGAUUGAAUGAUCCGAUGAAUAUCAUGGAUUGAGGAUGCAAGUAGGUUAGCCUAUCUUCAUCUUCGAGAAGUGAAGUAAAUCUUAUCAUUUAGAGGAAGGAGAAGUCGUAACA
RNAcentral lists this ribosomal RNA (326 nucleotides) under uncultured eukaryote. RNAcentral's name for it is "partial 18S ribosomal RNA". It matches the Rfam family "Eukaryotic small subunit ribosomal RNA", at positions 1470 to 1796 of the family's 1831-position model. The record is from RNAcentral.